AGUUCUCACCUGUGUCUGGUAGCAGCGACUGCCUGUGUUUUGCAUUCAGAUCUUGCUGUCUGUACCAAUAU
RNAcentral lists this small nucleolar RNA (71 nucleotides) under Carlito syrichta (Philippine tarsier). Its description in RNAcentral is "Small nucleolar RNA SNORA23 (ENSTSYG00000023780.2)". Lineage: Eukaryota; Metazoa; Chordata; Mammalia; Primates; Tarsiidae. The record is from RNAcentral.